This 291-nucleotide long non-coding RNA is filed under the name Homo sapiens (human). RNAcentral describes it as "LHRI_LNC386.1". The record is from RNAcentral. Lineage: Eukaryota; Metazoa; Chordata; Mammalia; Primates; Hominidae.
CUCCAACUAAAAGAGCACGGGCAGAAUGCUUCCUCUUAGCCAGUGGUUUCCAAACUUGAAUGUAAAUCAAAAUCACCUGAGGGCUUAUUAAGCCACAUUGCUGAUGCAUUUCUGACUCAGUGGGUCUGGGCCCGCCUUCCUAGCAAGCAACCAGGUGAUGCUGAUAAACUGCUGGUCAGGGACUCAUGUUGAAAACCACAGCUCCAGAUCACAUAGACAUCUGUACCAAAGAAGCGACGAGGGCACAGACAAAUUCCAUUAUAAUAGCCAUCUUUAUUUGUAAAAAUCCAG